CGCUGGCGGCGUGCCUAAUACAUGCAAGUCGAGCGAACAGACGAGGAGCUUGCUCCUCUGACGUUAGCGGCGGACGGGUGAGUAACACGUGGAUAACCUACCUAUAAGACUGGGAUAACUUCGGGAAACCGGAGCUAAUACCGGAUAAUAUAUUGAACCGCAUGGUUCAAUAGUGAAAGACGGUUUUGCUGUCACUUAUAGAUG
Molecule: ribosomal RNA, 204 nt
Filed under: Staphylococcus epidermidis
Lineage: Bacteria; Bacillati; Bacillota; Bacilli; Caryophanales; Staphylococcaceae
Description: partial 16S ribosomal RNA
Rfam family: Bacterial small subunit ribosomal RNA
Source: RNAcentral